Molecule: ribosomal RNA, 253 nt
Filed under: uncultured bacterium
Lineage: Bacteria
Description: partial 16S ribosomal RNA
Rfam family: Bacterial small subunit ribosomal RNA
Source: RNAcentral
UACAGAGGUCUCAAGCGUUGUUCGGAUUCAUUGGGCGUAAAGGGUGCGUAGGCGGCGUGGUAAGUCGGGUGUGAAAUUUCGGAGCUUAACUCCGAAACUGCAUUCGAUACUGCGGUGCUUGAGGACUGGAGAGGAGACUGGAAUUCAUGGUGUAGCAGUGAAAUGCGUAGAGAUCAUGAGGAAGACCAGUGGCGAAGGCGGGUCUCUGGACAGUUCCUGACGCUGAGGCACGAAGGUCAGGGGAGCAAACGGG